Non-coding RNA from Schistosoma haematobium, 45 nucleotides. NCBI's taxonomy places the organism in Eukaryota, Metazoa, Platyhelminthes, Trematoda, Strigeidida, Schistosomatidae. The record is from Rfam.
ACUCAACUGACGAGUUCAAUAUAGGACGAAACACGCUUCCUAGAU